GUUUUGAUCCUAAACUUACCGCUAUUUUUUAUCAAAAUUAUACAUGCAAGUAUCAACAAUCCAGUGAAAAUGCCCAAUUUUUAACAGACCGGAGCAGGUAUCAGGCACAACACUAUACCCUUGGCCAAUAACACCUUGCUUUGCCACACUUACACAGGCACUCAGCGGUAAUUAACAUUAGGCCAUAAGCGAAAGCUUGACCUAGCUAUGAUUUAAAAGGCCGGUAAAUUUCGUGCCAGCAAUCGCGGUUAUACGAAAAGCCUAAAAUAUUAUACACGGCGAAAAGCGUGAAUAGAACUUUUAUACCACCAACCUAAAAAUGAAAGCCCCUCAGCAGUAAAAUGCCCAAACUUAAAGAACCCCAGCCUUUUUAGCUUCGCUGGAUAAUUGACUCACAAAAACUAAGAAACAAACUAGGAUUAGAUACCCUACUAUGCUUAGUCUUAACCUUAGAUUACAUCCGCCAGAGAACUACUAGUGAAAAACUUAAAACUCAAAGGAUUUGGCGGUGCUCCACUCAACCUAGAGGAGCCUGUCCUAUAAUCGAUACUCCACGAUCAACCUCACCACCCUUAGCCCCUCAGCUUAUAUACCGCCGUCGUCAGCUUAUCCUGCAAAAGACUAAAAAUAAGCAAAAUAGUUCCCCACUAAAACGUCAGGUCAAGGCGUAGCUUAUAGGGUGGCAGUGAUGGGCUACACUCUCUACAAUAGAGGAAACGAAAAGCACAGUGAAACCUGUGCUAAAAGGCGGAUUUAGAAGUAAAAUGAACCAGAAUAUUCAUUUAAAAACAGCCCUGGAGCGCGCACACACCGCCCGUCACCCUCCUCAACACUACAAACCAGAUAAUAUAUUUCCUAUACAUCAACAAGAUGAGGCAAGUCGUAACAUGGUAAGCGCACCGGAAGGUGUGCUUGGAAUCAAAAAGUAGCUU
RNAcentral lists this non-coding RNA (932 nucleotides) under Siderolamprus enneagrammus. Its description in RNAcentral is "Celestus enneagrammus partial 12S ribosomal RNA". It matches the Rfam family "Bacterial small subunit ribosomal RNA". Lineage: Eukaryota; Metazoa; Chordata; Lepidosauria; Squamata; Diploglossidae. The record is from RNAcentral.